Long non-coding RNA from Mycetomoellerius zeteki, 340 nucleotides. RefSeq lists it as uncharacterized. The transcript is spliced from 3 exons. The record is from RefSeq and is a predicted model, not a curated record. Lineage: Eukaryota; Metazoa; Arthropoda; Insecta; Hymenoptera; Formicidae.
UUGGCUUCGUUGCGUUCUCAAACAACAUUGGCAUAGUUCGCGAAGGUGGAGUACGCCGCACAUACCGCGAGCUCAUUACUGUCGUGCCAUGCGUCAUGACUGAAAACCACCGUUCUAUUUUGUCGUCGUCGUCGCCGCCGCCGUCGCGGCCGUCGGAAUAACGAUGUCACAACAGGGUCGGUAAACAGCAAGCACGGUUUUCCCAACUUUCAAAUAACGCCAAUCAGUCUACGGCCGACAACGCCAAUGAGAAUUCAUCGGCAUCGAUUUCCGAGCAAUUCGCGUCGAGGUAUCAUCGGACGGCAGAUUGGAAGUUGAUGAUAGAGGGUCGGAAGAGACG